This 63-nucleotide transfer RNA is filed under the name Heterocephalus glaber (naked mole-rat). It matches the Rfam family "tRNA", at positions 5 to 66 of the family's 71-position model. From Rfam's summary of the family: Transfer RNA (tRNA) molecules are approximately 80 nucleotides in length. Their secondary structure includes four short double-helical elements and three loops (D, anti-codon, and T loops). The record is from Rfam by way of RNAcentral. Lineage: Eukaryota; Metazoa; Chordata; Mammalia; Rodentia; Bathyergidae.
GUGUAGCUCAGUUGUAGAGCACCUGCCUAGCAUGCACAAGGCCCUGGGUUCCACCCCCAGUAC